Molecule: small nucleolar RNA, 73 nt
Organism: Trypanosoma cruzi marinkellei
Lineage: Eukaryota; Euglenozoa; Kinetoplastea; Trypanosomatida; Trypanosomatidae
Rfam family: Trypanosomatid snoRNA TB11Cs3H1
Source: Rfam
AAGGCUCUCGUUGAACAAUCCCACCGGUGAGUGUAUCCAUUUGGUCUCCUGCGUGGACCUGAGAGUGCCAAGA